This 22-nucleotide microRNA is filed under the name Homo sapiens (human). RNAcentral describes it as "hsa-miR-4675". Lineage: Eukaryota; Metazoa; Chordata; Mammalia; Primates; Hominidae. The record is from miRBase by way of RNAcentral.
GGGGCUGUGAUUGACCAGCAGG